UCUUUAUUUUAUAAGGAUUUUUAAUAUUGGCUUUUUUCGGUGAGUGAAACAACGUUUUUUUUUUAAUUUACGUAACAUUUUGGAAUACUUUUCUUCACCCAUCAUCAGAUGUCCCCCAGAUUAACCCGAAACGUUACGUAAGUGUAAAAAUAAAGAAAGUUGUUUCACUCCCCGAGAAAUGUCAAUGAGUAUAAACCGUUUAGAAAGUACCGGUGAUAAAUUUUUAAUCAUUCCUUUUUUUUUGCACUACUGAUGCAGUCGAAAUAACUAACAGUUUUACACGGAAAAAUUGAGAUACUCAUUAAAUGUAUUGCUAUUACACCUUCAAAAUUACUAAUUGACUGUUGUUCAAAAUUUGUAUACCCUUAAUUCAGUUUUGGGUAAUAUUGGGUAGCCAAUAUACAGACGAAAACUAAUACUCGGUUAUUCAGCUCUGUAUAAAAAGUUUGCUGUUGUUGGAAAGCUUUGGGCGGGGAUGUCAAAGCAAACAAAUUUUCCAAAUUCGCUACCGGUUAUCACAAUGGUUUCAAUUUUUCAUCAUUUUUGCGUUGAAAUCAUCAUAAAUAUCUCACGAAAGGUAUGUAUUCUUAUGAUUCAACUUCAUUGUUUGACCUUUACAAUGAUUUCAGGGAUAUUUUUCACACAGUUGCGGAAGAAGCCAACGGUCGUGUUUGAAACUGGCUGAAGUUUGGAAAAUGGUUCAUCGUUCUGAUCUUUAUUUAACGCUCCUUAUGCUGUUCCGGAAAGUCGAAAGAAUGCAACUGGAGGAUGAGCUUGAUGCCUUCUCGCCCGGUUAAAAUUAUUUCCUCUGAUCAAAACAGAGCCUAUUUCUCUUCAAACCUUUUACCCGACGGGAGUGCUCUACGAAAUACUGCAGUUGAAACGCCGCGGCCGUAUUUUGUUCUUAAAGAAUUGAUAUAUUACACCCAUGACUGGAUCGCACAAAAGCAAAUGCCGGACGAUCGUGCCGGAUGAUGGAAAAGGUGGAACAAAUCGACGACGAUAACUCUACCAAGGAAUCCCAACCGACGGUUAAACAUAAGCGAGCCUUCAAGUAUCACACGUUAGCUUGAAGGCACCGAAGCUAUGGAUCUGUUUUAAUCGUUUAAAUUAUU
Long non-coding RNA from Uranotaenia lowii, 1115 nucleotides. RefSeq lists it as uncharacterized. The transcript is spliced from 3 exons. The record is from RefSeq and is a predicted model, not a curated record. NCBI's taxonomy places the organism in Eukaryota, Metazoa, Arthropoda, Insecta, Diptera, Culicidae.